UAGGGGGGAUGUACCCAAGGGGAUCAGGGCAGGGGAUUGGGAAUCCCCCCUGGCGCGA
RNAcentral lists this transfer RNA (58 nucleotides) under Biancaea decapetala. RNAcentral's name for it is "partial tRNA-His". The record is from RNAcentral. Lineage: Eukaryota; Viridiplantae; Streptophyta; Magnoliopsida; Fabales; Fabaceae.